CCUACGGGUGGCAGCAGUGGGGAAUAUUGGACAAUGGGCGAAAGCCUGAUCCAGCCAUGCCGCGUGUGUGAAGAAGGCCUUCGGGUUGUAAAGCACUUUCAGUGGGGAAGAAAGCCUUGGGGCUAAUACCCUCGAGGAAGGACAUCACCCACAGAAGAGGCACCGGCUAACUCCGUGCCAGCAGCCGCGGUAAUACGGAGGGUGCGAGCGUUAAUCGGAAUUACUGGGCGUAAAGCGCGCGUAGGCGGUCUGAUAAGCCGGUUGUGAAAGCCCCGGGCUCAACCUGGGAACGGCAUCCGGAACUGUCAGGCUAGAGUGCAGGAGAGGAAGGUAGAAUUCCCGGUGUAGCGGUGAAAUGCGUAGAGAUCGGGAGGAAUACCAGUGGCGAAGGCGGCCUUCUGGACUGACACUGACGCUGAGGUGCGAAAGCGUGGGUAGCAAACAGGAUUAGAUACCCUAGUAGUC
This 465-nucleotide ribosomal RNA is filed under the name Vreelandella stevensii. RNAcentral's name for it is "partial 16S ribosomal RNA". It matches the Rfam family "Bacterial small subunit ribosomal RNA", at positions 338 to 795 of the family's 1533-position model. Lineage: Bacteria; Pseudomonadati; Pseudomonadota; Gammaproteobacteria; Oceanospirillales; Halomonadaceae. The record is from RNAcentral.